UACGUAGGGUGCGAGCGUUGUCCGGAAUUACUGGGCGUAAAGAGCUCGUAGGUGGUUUGUCGCGUUGUUCGUGAAAACUCACAGCUUAACUGUGGGCGUGCGGGCGAUACGGGCAGACUGGAGUACUGCAGGGGAGACUGGAAUUCCUGGUGUAGCGGUGGAAUGCGCAGAUAUCAGGAGGAACACCGGUGGCGAAGGCGGCCCUCUGGACCGAGACUGACGCUGAGGCGCGAAAGCGUGGGGAGCAAACAGG
Molecule: ribosomal RNA, 253 nt
Filed under: uncultured bacterium
Lineage: Bacteria
Description: partial 16S ribosomal RNA
Rfam family: Bacterial small subunit ribosomal RNA
Source: RNAcentral